UGGUGGAGUGAUUUGUAAGUUUCCUUCCGUUCCACUACAGUGUGGUUCGCGGACUUUUAGUGGUUUGUAUGCUAACAUUACCUUUCCAGGUCUGCCUAAUCGCGAUAACGAACGAGACCUUAACCUGCUAAAUAGCCCGUAUUGCUUUGGCAGCACGCUGGCUUCUUAGAGGGACUAUCGGCUCAAGCCGAUGGAAGUUUGAGGCAAUAACA
RNAcentral lists this ribosomal RNA (212 nucleotides) under uncultured eukaryote. Its description in RNAcentral is "partial 18S ribosomal RNA". The stretch from base 57 to 210 matches the Rfam family "Eukaryotic small subunit ribosomal RNA", at positions 1291 to 1456 of the family's 1831-position model. The record is from RNAcentral.